RNAcentral lists this ribosomal RNA (422 nucleotides) under uncultured bacterium. RNAcentral describes it as "bacterial SSU rRNA". It matches the Rfam family "Bacterial small subunit ribosomal RNA", at positions 355 to 774 of the family's 1533-position model. The record is from RNAcentral.
UUAGGAAUAUUGGUCAAUGGGGGCAACCCUGAACCAGCCAAGUCGCGUGAAGGAUGAAGGUCUUAUGGAUUGUAAACUUCUUUUACACGGGAAUAAAGUGGGGGACGUGUCCCCCUUUGCAUGUACCGUGUGAAUAAGGAUCGGCUAACUCCGUGCCAGCAGCCGCGGUAAUACGGAGGAUCCGAGCGUUAUCCGGAUUUAUUGGGUUUAAAGGGUGCGCAGGCGGGAUGUUAAGUCGGCGGUGAAAUUUUGCAGCUCAACUGUAAAAGUGCCUUCGAUACUGGCCUACUUGGGUGUGGAUGAAGUAGGCGGAAUUUGUGGUGUAGCGGUGAAAUGCUUAGAUAUCACGAGGAACUCCGAUUGCGCAGGCAGCUUACUAAGCCACAACUGACGCUCAUGCACGAAGGCGUGGGGAUCAAACA